RNAcentral lists this ribosomal RNA (382 nucleotides) under uncultured bacterium. RNAcentral's name for it is "bacterial SSU rRNA". It matches the Rfam family "Bacterial small subunit ribosomal RNA", at positions 518 to 898 of the family's 1533-position model. The record is from RNAcentral.
CGGUAAUACGAAGGUCCCGAGCGUUGUUCGGAAUCACUGGGCGUAAAGGGAGCGUAGGCGGCGUGGUAAGUCAGACGUGAAAUCCCGGGGCUCAACCCCGGAACUGCGUCCGAUACUGCCGUGCUAGAGGAUUGGAGAGGUAGCUGGAAUUCACGGUGUAGCAGUGAAAUGCGUGGAUAUCGUGAGGAACACUCGUGGCGAAAGCGAGCUACUGGACAACUCCUGACGCUGAGGCUCGAAGGCCAGGGUAGCGAAAGGGAUUAGAUACCCCUGUAGUCCUGGCAGUAAACGGUGUGCGCUUGGUGUGGCGGGAAUCGACCCCUGCCGUGCCGGAGCUAACGCGUUAAGCGCACCGCCUGGGAAGUACGGUCGCAAGACUAAA